AUGCAAGUCGAGCGAUGAUGUUUCUUCGGAAAUGGAUUAGCGGCGAACGGGUGAGGAACACGUGAAGAAUCUGCCCUCCACUUUGGGAUAACACCGGGAAACCGGUGCUAAUACCGAAUAUUGAAACAUAAGUGGCAUCACUGAGUUUUGAAAGAAUUUCGGUGGAGGAUGACUUCGCGGCCUAUCAGCUAGUUGGUGAGGUAAUGGCUCACCAAGGCAACGACGGGUAGCCGGCCUGAGAGGGCGACCGGCCACACUGGGACUGAGACACGGCCCAGACUCCUACGGGAGGCAGCAGUGGGGAAUAUUGGGCAAUGGAGGAAACUCUGACCCAGCGACGCCGCGUGCGGGAUGAAGGCCUUCGGGUUGUAAACCGCUUUCAGUAGGGAAGAAGCGAAAGUGACGGUACCUACAAAAGAAGCACCGGCUAACUAUGUGCCAGCAGCCGCGGUAAUACAUAGGGUGCAAGCGUUGUCCGGAAUUAUUGGGCGUAAAGAGCUCGUAGGUCGUUUGUUACGUCGGAUGUGAAAACCUGAGGCUCAACCUCAGGCCUGCAUUCGAUACGGGCAAACUAGAGUUUGGUAGGGGAGACUGGAAUUCCUGGUGUAGCGGUGGAAUGCGCAGAUAUCAGGAGGAACACCAAUGGCGAAGGCAGGUCUCUGGGCCAAUACUGACACUGAGGAGCGAAAGUCUGGGGAGCGAACAGGAUUAGAUACCCUGGUAGUCCAGACCGUAAACGGUGGGCACUAGUUGUGGGAACCUUCCACGGUUUCUGCGACGCAGCUAACGCAUUAAGUGCCCCGCCUGGGGAGUACGAUCGCAAGAUUAAAACUCAAAGGAAUUGACGG
This 848-nucleotide ribosomal RNA is filed under the name uncultured bacterium. Its description in RNAcentral is "bacterial SSU rRNA". It matches the Rfam family "Bacterial small subunit ribosomal RNA", at positions 55 to 916 of the family's 1533-position model. The record is from RNAcentral.